GAUGAACGCUAGCGGCAGGCCUAAUACAUGCAAGUCGGACGGGAUUCAGGAGCUCGCUUCUGAUGAGAGUGGCGCACGGGUGCGUAACACGUAUGUAACCUACCUUUAUCAGGGGGAUAGCCUCUCGAAAGAGAGAUUAAGCCCGCAUAAAAUCACAGCACAGCAUUGUGUAAUGAUCAAAUAUUUAUAGGAUAAAGAUGGGCAUGCGGAACAUUAGCUAGAUGGCGGGGUAACGGCCCACCAUGGCGACGAUGUUUAGGGGAUCUGAGAGGAUGGCCCCCCACACUGGUACUGAGACACGGACCAGACUCCUACGGGAGGCAGCAGUAAGGAAUAUUGGUCAAUGGGCGGAAGCCUGAACCAGCCAUGCCGCGUGCAGGAAGACGGCCCUACGGGUUGUAAACUGCUUUUAUACGGGAAUAAACCCAGAUACGUGUAUCUGGCUGAAUGUACUGUAAGAAUAAGGAUCGGCUAACUCCGUG
Molecule: ribosomal RNA, 482 nt
Filed under: uncultured bacterium
Lineage: Bacteria
Description: partial 16S ribosomal RNA
Rfam family: Bacterial small subunit ribosomal RNA
Source: RNAcentral